This 255-nucleotide ribosomal RNA is filed under the name uncultured bacterium. RNAcentral describes it as "partial 16S ribosomal RNA". It matches the Rfam family "Bacterial small subunit ribosomal RNA", at positions 57 to 305 of the family's 1533-position model. The record is from RNAcentral.
GCAAGUCGAACGGUAACAUAGAGAAGCUUGCUUUUCUGAUGACGAGUGGCGCACGGGUGCGUAACGCGUAUACAAUCUACCUUUUACAGAGGGAUAGCCCAGAGAAAUUUGGAUUAAUACCUCAUAGUAUUUAGUUAUGGCAUCAUAGCUAAAUUAAAGAUUUAUCGGUAAAAGAUGAGUAUGCGUUCUAUUAGUUAGUUGGAGUGGUAACGGCACCCCAAGACAGCGAUAGAUAGGGGCCCUGAGAGGGGGAUC